This is a long non-coding RNA of Chelonia mydas (Green sea turtle), 193 nucleotides long. RefSeq lists it as uncharacterized. NCBI's taxonomy places the organism in Eukaryota, Metazoa, Chordata, Testudines, Cheloniidae. The record is from RefSeq and is a predicted model, not a curated record. The transcript has 3 exons.
AUUUACUUCCUGUUUGCCCCUAAUUUAUAUAGUAAUAUUUUCAGCUAUACCUUAACCAAUCAUUUUACUGAAAUUUACCUAACCAAUCCUAACAUAUUGUAACAUGAUUAGCUAACCAAUCAUAUCCCAACACCUUAAUUAGUUUAGAUCCAGCAAAAUUAAUUAUACAUCCUAACACAGAAACAAUCUCAGA